This is a long non-coding RNA of Populus trichocarpa (black cottonwood), 1157 nucleotides long. RefSeq lists it as uncharacterized. The transcript is spliced from 2 exons. The record is from RefSeq and is a predicted model, not a curated record. Lineage: Eukaryota; Viridiplantae; Streptophyta; Magnoliopsida; Malpighiales; Salicaceae.
AAACACCAAAAACAAAAAUCAAUUAAUUAAAAAAAAUCAAAAUAGAACUCGAUCUCCUUUUCCAAGCAUGUUUAUAGAAGAAAAAAAUCACCACCAUCGAAUUCUCCUCGUCGAAUAGAACAUAUUGACACUAAAAACGACAGGUUUCAUCACUGAAAAGUGCAAAAACUGAUGACUUUCUCUCUCGUAGCCUUUUUCAAACGACUUUCUCACUCUUCUCUCUAAUUCAGGGAUUAAAAUAUUAAGAAAAUGAACUUUCAAACCAAAGUUGGAAUUUAGAAAAUAUAGGGACUCUAGAGGAAGAAAAAGAAAAGUAUGAGAGGGAAGAAUAACUUUUCCCCUUAAUUUUAGAUUGUCCAUGGUUUGUUUUUUAAACAUUUUGAUCUCCUUGUUUUGAAUUUUGUUCAUUCUUAAACAAAUUAAUUAUCAAAUUGGAUAUAAAAAACUUCAAUCAAAAAAUAAAAAACAAAAAGCCAAGGACUGAAAAAAAAAAAGUUUCUCAGAUUGAGGGGGAAUUAAUCAGUGCCUGACAACCAUUGGCAUAUCAACAUUGACCCUGCGGGAUAGAACAUUAAACAUUAUCAUGUGGAAGACAGCUCUUCUAAGAAGAUGGACUAAUAUAGCUGGAUUUUUUUGAGAUUAUUAUUAGAAAAAUAUUGAAGAGGGGCCGUCCAAAUUCGCAGUCCCUUCCAAAUUCGCAGAAUUGUGUGUUCUUCUUCAUCCAAUCAUCAGCACAUAAGAGAUCAGCACUGUAGAAAUGGAUGCACCAUCACAGCAAGAGAUGUCAUACUAUGAUCACGUUAAGAGACGCCACGAGGACAAAGGCUGCCUCUAUGCCUUCUUCUUCGCUCUAUGUUGCUGCUGUUGCUGCAGUGAAACUUGUGACGGUAAAACUUGUGAGCUCUGUUGCCUCAGUGGUUGUGAGUGCUGUGUGCAUCUGUGUGCAGUGUCGCUGCUGUGCUUAGAUCACUAGUCCAAGAAAUGGAAGUAGUAUGAAUUUUUUCCCCUGAAUUUUAGAUUGGCAAUGGUUUUUUUUUUUUAACAUUUUGAUCUCCUUGUUUUGAAUUUUGUUCGUUCUUAAACAAAUUAAUUAUCAAAUUAGAUAUAAAAAACUGCAAUUAAAAAAUAAAAUGUCAAGGACUGAAAAAAAAAAAAAA